GAGUUUGAUCCUGGCUCAGAACGAACGCUGGCGGCGUGCUUAACACAUGCAAGUCGAACGUGAUUGAGAGCUUGCUCUCAUGAAAGUGGCGCACGGGUGAGUAACACGUGGAUAAUCUGCCUGACGAUCUGGGAUAACACUUCGAAAGGGGUGCUAAUACCUGAUAAGCCCACGGUCUCUUCGGAGAGCGCGGGAAAAGGGGGCCUCUGUAUAUGCUCCUGUCGCUAGAUGAGUCCGCGGCCCAUUAGCUAGUUGGUAGGGUAAUGGCCCACCAAGGCGACGAUGGUUAGCUGGUCUGAGAGGAUGAUCAGCCACACUGGAACUGAGACACGGUCCAGACUCCUACGGGAGGCAGCAGUGGGGAAUUUUGCGCAAUGGGGGAAACCCUGACGCAGCAACGCCGCGUGAGUGAUGAAGGCUUUCGGGUCGUAAAGCUCUGUCAGAGGGGAAGAAAUGAGACUGGCUAAUAUCCAGUUUUCUUGACGGUACCCUCAAAGGAAGCACCGGCUAACUCCGUGCCAGCAGCCGCGGUAAUACC
This 538-nucleotide ribosomal RNA is filed under the name uncultured Geobacter sp. Its description in RNAcentral is "bacterial SSU rRNA". It matches the Rfam family "Bacterial small subunit ribosomal RNA", at positions 9 to 527 of the family's 1533-position model. Lineage: Bacteria; Pseudomonadati; Thermodesulfobacteriota; Desulfuromonadia; Geobacterales; Geobacteraceae. RNAcentral also lists the same sequence under 1 other name. The record is from RNAcentral.